GGGUUGGCUCCCGGCUUGACGAUUUCCGGCUUGGAGACAUAGACUUCGCCGGGCUUCAGUUUUUGGUAAUGAUCAGGUAUCGGCGCAUUAAAGCUUUUCAUCCUUUCGACAUACUGCUCACUUCGUUUCCAUUUCAUCGUAAAUUGUUUAUGCGGCUUGGAAUUGAAC
Molecule: unclassified non-coding RNA, 168 nt
Filed under: plant metagenome
Description: partial contains 5.8S ribosomal RNA, internal transcribed spacer 2, and large subunit ribosomal RNA
Source: RNAcentral